Molecule: ribosomal RNA, 624 nt
Filed under: Bacillus thuringiensis
Lineage: Bacteria; Bacillati; Bacillota; Bacilli; Caryophanales; Bacillaceae
Description: bacterial SSU rRNA
Rfam family: Bacterial small subunit ribosomal RNA
Source: RNAcentral
GGCCGUCACUUAUGGAUGGACCCGCGUCGCAUUAGAUAGUUGGUGAGGUAACGGCUCCCCAAGGCAACGAUGCGUAGCCGACCUGAGAGGGUGAUCGGCCACCCUGGGAAUGAGACACGGCCCAGACUCCUACGGGAGGCAGCAGUAGGGAAUCUUCCGCAAUGGGCGAAAAUCCGACGGAGCAACUCCGCGUGAGUGAUGAAGGCUUUUGGGUCGUAAAACUCUGUUGUUAGGGAAGAACAAGUGCUAGUUGAAUUAGUUGGCACCUUGACGGUACCUAACCAGAAAGCCACGGCUAACUUCGUGCCAGCAGCCGCGGUAAUACGUAGGUGGCAAGCGUUAUCCGGAAUUAUUGGGCGUAAAGCGCGCGCAGGUGGUUUCUUAAGUUUGAUGUGAAAGCCCCCGGCUCAACCGUGGAGGGUCAUUGGAAACUGGGAGACUUGAGUGCAGAAGAGGAAAGUGGAAUUCCAUGUGUAGCGGUGAAAUGCGUAGAGAUAUGGAGGAACCCCAGUGGCGAAGGCGACUUUCUGGUCUGUAUCUGACCCUGAGGCGCGAAAGCGUGGGGAGCAAACAGGAUUAGAUACCCUGGUAGUCCCCGCCGUAAACGAUGAGUACUAAGUGUUA